Non-coding RNA from Heterocephalus glaber (naked mole-rat), 1151 nucleotides. NCBI's taxonomy places the organism in Eukaryota, Metazoa, Chordata, Mammalia, Rodentia, Bathyergidae. The record is from RefSeq and is a predicted model, not a curated record.
ACUCACUAUAGAGACCCUCCUGUAUCAGCCUCUCAAGUCCUGGGAUUGCAGGCGUGCGCCACCAUCAAGCCCACUUCUAACCAGACCCUUCUACAUCUGUGUUCUGCUGUGGGAACAAGUUACUGAAAGCACAUGUGUUGCCCUGAUUGCCGUCCGGAGCUCCAGUAUGGAGGAUUAGUGGCUGACCGGCCGCACCAAAGCUGCCUGGGAAAUCCCGGUCCUCGCGCCUGGAGGACUGAGACCUGGCCUCCCUGGUUAGCUCCUUGAGGCCACUUCUGUGCUUGCACGCAGCCACCUGCUCUCAGAAGCAGCAGUGGUUCAUCAAAUCCCUCUCGCUCAGGAUUCCUCUAACACCUUCCCAGCACACACGCAUACACAGCCAAAGAGUUGUGAAGCUGGGGUUCGAAUCCCUAUGCCCCAGGGCCCACGGGGAAGGGCCAGUCACCGCAGGUGUGGAUGAGCUGAUUCCUCAGCCUUUUUACCAACAGCCAAGGAAUGUGGGAAAGACGGAGUUUAUUCGGAUCAGAGUACAGAUCCAGAGGGAUGGCGCAGGUCUGCAAGGGGAGUGGGAACAAUUUAUUGAGAAAAAGCUUCUGUCUAAGAGAGGCAGAAGGGGGACAGCAAAGUACAUUGGCUGGGUCGGACACUGUCAAGGCCAACUGGCAAGGCCUUUCACUCGGGCCUCACAAAAGGCUCCUCAGACUCAGUUAACAUCAGUGCUGUGCCUCGCGACCGCCCUAGUGCCGGGCCAGGGCUGCGUCACCAGAGCAAUGCCGAGACCUAACCCUUUUGUCAACAAACCUGCCUCAAUCUUCUGACGGAGCCAGCGGUCACUAGUCGAACAGUACCUGAGGAGAGGGUUCAGGAGAGCAUGAUCUGCGGUGGAGCCCGGGGUAAGGAGCACCUCCGUCACCAGGGGGAGCGGUGGACACGCGUGAAGGACAGUCCUGGCUUUGCUUCUGUGUCCCCGAUGUGACAGUCUCGGCUCAGAAGUCAUGAGGCCAAGACUUUCCCCCACUUGUCUACUGGGUAAAGAGCCUGGCUGCGUGGACGGAGGAAACCGUUUUUUAUGCCUCGAUUUCCCCCUAUUUUUCUAUUCGUGUUUUCACCACAUGAAACAUUAAAUGUCCAAUACCAUGCUUUAAGUCUUA